AUACGUAGGUGGCAAGCGUUGUCCGGAAUUACUGGGUGUAAAGGGCGUGUAGGCGGGGAUGCAAGUCAGAUGUGAAAUUCCGGGGCUCAACCCCGGCACUGCCUCUGAAACUGGGUCUCUUGAGGGCUGGAGAGGAAAGCGGAAUUCCUAGUGUAGCGGUGAAAUGCGUAGAUAUUAGGAGGAACACCAGUGGCGAAGGCGGCUUUCUGGACAGUAACUGACGCUGAGGCGCGAAAGCGUGGGUAGCGAACAGGAUUAGAUACCCUGGUAGUCCACGCCGUAAACGAUGGAUACUAGGUGUAGGAGGUAUCGACCCCUUCUGUGCCGGAGUUAACACAAUAAGUAUCCCACCUGGGGAGUACGGCCGCAAGGUUGAAACUCAAAUGAAUUGACGGGG
This 397-nucleotide ribosomal RNA is filed under the name uncultured bacterium. RNAcentral's name for it is "partial 16S ribosomal RNA". It matches the Rfam family "Bacterial small subunit ribosomal RNA", at positions 523 to 918 of the family's 1533-position model. The record is from RNAcentral.